GACGAACGCUGGCGGCGUGCUUAACACAUGCAAGUCGAACGGAAAGGCCUGUCCUUCCUUGUGUUGGACGGGUACUCGAGUGGCGAACGGGUGAGUAACACGUGAGUGAUCUGCCCCCAACUUGGGUAUAAGCCUGGGAAACUGGGUCUAAUUCCCGAUAGGACUGCAGGGUGGUGCCUGUGGUGGAAAACGAUUUUCUAGUGGUUGGGGAUGAGCUCGCGGCCUAUCAGCUUGUUGGUGGGGUAAUGGCCUACCAAGGCGGCGACGGGUAGCCGGCCUGAGAGGGUGGACGGCCACAUUGGGACUGAGAUACGGCCCAGACUCCUGCGGGAGGCAGCAGUGGGGAAUAUUGCACAAUGGGCGGAAGCCUGAUGCAGCGACGCCGCGUGGGGGAUGACGGCCUUCGGGUUGUAAACUCCUUUCGACCGCGAGGAAGCCGCCUGGUUGGAAGGGUGGUGACGGUAGUGGUAGAAGAAGCACCGGCUAACUACGUG
This 494-nucleotide ribosomal RNA is filed under the name uncultured bacterium. Its description in RNAcentral is "partial 16S ribosomal RNA". It matches the Rfam family "Bacterial small subunit ribosomal RNA", at positions 28 to 507 of the family's 1533-position model. The record is from RNAcentral.